AGGAAUUUAGGUUAGCCCAGACCAAGAGCCUUCAAAGCCCUAAGCAAGUACCCAGUACUUAAUUCCUG
RNAcentral lists this transfer RNA (68 nucleotides) under Hyosciurus ileile (lowland long-nosed squirrel). RNAcentral describes it as "tRNA-Trp". The record is from RNAcentral. Lineage: Eukaryota; Metazoa; Chordata; Mammalia; Rodentia; Sciuridae.